Long non-coding RNA from Dunckerocampus dactyliophorus (ringed pipefish), 312 nucleotides. RefSeq lists it as uncharacterized. NCBI's taxonomy places the organism in Eukaryota, Metazoa, Chordata, Actinopteri, Syngnathiformes, Syngnathidae. The transcript has 3 exons. The record is from RefSeq and is a predicted model, not a curated record.
ACUGUAAGGACAAUCAACCUAAUUACAACGCAGUGUGUUGCCCGCCACAACAGGAGUUACUGAUUGCUUCGGCCUGCAGAUUCCAUCUUUGCCGCGGAGGAGCAACAGCGAAUCAAAGAGGGAACUUUGAUAUCAGCUGAAUUCAAGAAAUAACUCACAGCAAAACACAAAGGUGGCAUCCAUGUUGACCUCGCUUCCACAUCGUGUCUUUGUUCAUAAUCACAUCUUCAGUGAAGCACUCCCGAGACUUGUCUCCAUGCCAACAAUGCACAGACAGCCUGAUGACAUCAUAGAUGAGUGGCGGAGCUGGGG